This 91-nucleotide transfer RNA is filed under the name Vibrio sp. 10N.286.48.B7. RNAcentral's name for it is "tRNA-Ser". It matches the Rfam family "tRNA". Rfam says of the family: Transfer RNA (tRNA) molecules are approximately 80 nucleotides in length. Their secondary structure includes four short double-helical elements and three loops (D, anti-codon, and T loops). RNAcentral also lists the same sequence under 12 other names. Lineage: Bacteria; Pseudomonadati; Pseudomonadota; Gammaproteobacteria; Vibrionales; Vibrionaceae. The record is from RNAcentral.
GGAGAGAUGGCUGAGUGGUCGAAAGCACCGGUCUUGAAAACCGGCAAGGGUUAAUAGCCCUUCUAGGGUUCAAAUCCCUAUCUCUCCGCCA